RNAcentral lists this ribosomal RNA (894 nucleotides) under Pleurostoma richardsiae. RNAcentral describes it as "LSU rRNA". It matches the Rfam family "Eukaryotic large subunit ribosomal RNA", at positions 37 to 964 of the family's 3401-position model. Lineage: Eukaryota; Fungi; Ascomycota; Sordariomycetes; Calosphaeriales; Pleurostomataceae. The record is from RNAcentral.
AGCAUAUCAAUAAGCGGAGGAAAAGAAACCAACAGGGAUUGCCCCAGUAACGGCGAGUGAAGCGGCAACAGCUCAAAUUUGAAAUCUGGCCUCGGCCCGAGUUGUAAUUUGCAGAGGAUGCUUCUGGCGCGGCGCCUUCCGAGUUCCCUGGAACGGGACGCCACAGAGGGUGAGAGCCCCGUAUGGUCGGACGCCAAGCCAGUGUGAAGCUCCUUCGAAGAGUCGAGUAGUUUGGGAAUGCUGCUCUAAGCGGGAGGUAUACGUCUUCUAAAGCUAAAUACCGGCCAGAGACCGAUAGCGCACAAGUAGAGUGAUCGAAAGAUGAAAAGCACCUUGAAAAGGGGGUUAAACAGUACGUGAAAUUGUUGAAAGGGAAGCGCCUGUGACCAGACUUGCGCCGGGCGGAUCAUCCAGCGUUCUCGCUGGUGCGCUCCGCCCGGCUCAGGCCAGCAUCGGUUCUGGCGGGGGGAUAAAGGCGGCGGGAACGUGGCUCCCCCGGGAGUGUUAUAGCCCGCCGUGCAAUGCCCCCGCUGGGACCGAGGUUCGCGCAUCUGCAAGGAUGCUGGCGUAAUGGUCACCAGCGACCCGUCUUGAAACACGGACCAAGGAGUCGUCCAUUACGGCGAGCGUUUGGGUGUAAAACCCCUGCGCGGAAUGAAAGUAAACGUAGGUGAGAGCUUCGGCGCAUCAUCGACCGAUCCUGAUGUACUCGGAUGGAUUUGAGUAAGAGUCGUACCGGACGGACCCGAAAGAUGGUGAACUAUGCCUGUAUAGGGUGAAGCCAGAGGAAACUCUGGUGGAGGCUCGCAGCGGUUCUGACGUGCAAAUCGAUCGUCAAAUAUGGGCAUGGGGGCGAAAGACUAAUCGAACCAUCUAGUAGCUGGUUACCGCCGA